CUGGUGGUUCAGUUGGAAGAGCAUGUAUGGAGAGACUCCAACGUGCAGUGAGAAGCUGUUGCAUGCAAAGAUCUGAAGCUAACGGGAUGCACAAGUUAUCUAGGAAGUUGUUAUACAUGCAUGUGUUAGUGGCAUAAGAUGUUGGUGCCGCGGCCUUCUCCCUCCUCACCGUAGCGCUCUCUCUCUCUCGCUCGCCCAAAAGUAGAAGAAAGAAGGAGGAAGAAUGAGGAGCACACAGCACUGUACAUCCCAGCGCACGAACGCCGCCCGGCCGCACGUACGGCCGCUUCUAUUACUCAAG
RNAcentral lists this long non-coding RNA (301 nucleotides) under Hordeum vulgare. RNAcentral describes it as "long non-coding RNA (HVUL_LNC011671)". Lineage: Eukaryota; Viridiplantae; Streptophyta; Magnoliopsida; Poales; Poaceae. The record is from RNAcentral.